AAUAAUUUGAGGUGCAAUUUUCCAGACACCCCUGCACCUCUCUCCUUGAAACUUGUCAGGCUUCACGGUCUCAGAAGGGGCUACAUUCCUUGAAGUUUCAU
This is a long non-coding RNA of Gavialis gangeticus (Gharial), 101 nucleotides long. RefSeq lists it as uncharacterized. The transcript has 3 exons. The record is from RefSeq and is a predicted model, not a curated record. Lineage: Eukaryota; Metazoa; Chordata; Crocodylia; Gavialidae.